This 1064-nucleotide long non-coding RNA is filed under the name Homo sapiens (human). RNAcentral describes it as "HSALNT0117769". The record is from RNAcentral. Lineage: Eukaryota; Metazoa; Chordata; Mammalia; Primates; Hominidae.
CAGUGAGCUGACAGUGUAUCACUGCACUCCAGCCUGGGUGACAGAGUGAGACCCUGUCUCAAAACAGAAAAGAAAAGAAAGUAAAGCUUUGUAAAGGAGGUUCUCAUCCCUCCAGGACCGGGUCGGCUGCUAGAACAGGUGUCUUUCCUGCCUCUUACCACUUGGUGGCAGCGUGUUGACCGAAGGAGAAUUGGAUCUCGUUCCCCAGUUUCCCAGGAGCAAAUCAUGGCUCCUGGAGAGCAAGUCAUCCAGUGCAUAGGAUUUAUCCAGAAGGCUGCGCAUCGGCAGUAGCCACGGGUCUGUGUCUGCAAGAGCAGCGCAUCCGGGUGCUGAGUGCUGUGGUUCCAGGGCUCCCUGAGUCUGGGGGAGUUCGCAGCAGAGGUGAUGUCUACGCUGAGCGGGGAUUUUCUGCAAUCACGUCAUUUGUGAACAAAGAAGUUUUAUUUCUUCCUUCCCAAUCUGUAUACUGGUGAUUUCCUUUUCCGGUCUUUUUGCUCUAGCGGGGACUCCCAGUUUGAGGCCUGAUGGGGUGGUGGGAGGGGACGUUCCUGCCUCUUCCUGAUCGUGGCUCCCUUCAGUUCCGCCUGCUGGGCCCUGAGUUGCUCCGGGAACCGCUGAGCACUGGCUCUAGGCUCUGUCUCCUUGGGGGACGUUCACCAGCUGCCUCUCAAAGGACCGCCUGAGACCAGACACUUCCGUGGCCUACGGCUUCCUCAAGGACUCUACAAGACACAGAAAUCCCUGCUGUCUCCACUGAAAAGAAAGGGAAUCCGUGACCAGGCCCCCCGCCGUGCUGGGCUGAGUGGACGGCACGGGAGACGACCCACGGACCGUUCUCGCUUUGCCUCCAGUGUCGUUCAAAGGGCACCUGCCUGAAGGAGACGUGGGGCUUUGGAGGUGCGGGAUUUCUUCUUACCUCUGUUCCCACUACUUACCUUCAGAAUAAAUCUCUAAGUCCGGUAUUAGCAAAUUCUUCACAGAUGUAGGCCACACAAAGCACCCUCAUUGUCUGUCAUAAAUAUAAUAUCUUUUAAAAUCUCCAACGCGACGCACGGGCCUGUUUC